GACGAACGCUGGCGGCGUGCCUAAUACAUGCAAGUAGAACGCUGAAGGAGGAGCUUGCUUCUCUGGAUGAGUUGCGAACGGGUGAGUAACGCGUAGGUAACCUGCCUGGUAGCGGGGGAUAACUAUUGGAAACGAUAGCUAAUACCGCAUAAUAGUAGAUGUUGCAUGACAUUUACUUAAAAGGUGCAAUUGCAUCACUACCAGAUGGACCUGCGUUGUAUUAGCUAGUUGGUGGGGUAACGGCUCACCAAGGCGACGAUACAUAGCCGACCUGAGAGGGGGAUCGGCCACACUGGGACUGAGACACGGCCCAGACUCCUACGGGAGGCAGCAGUAGGGAAUCUUCGGCAAUGGACGAAAGUCUGACCGAGCAACGCCGCGUGAGUGAAGAAGGUUUUCGGAUCGUAAAGCUCGGUUGUAAGAGAAGAACGAGUGUGAGAGUGGAAAGUUCACACUGUGACGGUAUCUUACCAGAAAGGGACGGCUAACUACGUG
Molecule: ribosomal RNA, 495 nt
Filed under: uncultured bacterium
Lineage: Bacteria
Description: partial 16S ribosomal RNA
Rfam family: Bacterial small subunit ribosomal RNA
Source: RNAcentral